RNAcentral lists this transfer RNA (72 nucleotides) under Exserohilum turcica Et28A. RNAcentral describes it as "Setosphaeria turcica Et28A tRNA". It matches the Rfam family "tRNA". From Rfam's summary of the family: Transfer RNA (tRNA) molecules are approximately 80 nucleotides in length. Their secondary structure includes four short double-helical elements and three loops (D, anti-codon, and T loops). Lineage: Eukaryota; Fungi; Ascomycota; Dothideomycetes; Pleosporales; Pleosporaceae. The record is from Rfam by way of RNAcentral.
GCCCGUGUGGCCAAGUGGUAAGGCGUCGCACUUGUAAUGCGAAGAUCCAUAUCUUCUCAAAAUAUAAUGGCA